This 250-nucleotide ribosomal RNA is filed under the name uncultured bacterium. Its description in RNAcentral is "partial 16S ribosomal RNA". It matches the Rfam family "Bacterial small subunit ribosomal RNA", at positions 524 to 773 of the family's 1533-position model. The record is from RNAcentral.
UACGAAGGGGGCGAGCGUUAUUCGGAAUCACUGGGCGUAAAGCGUGCGUAGGCUGUUUGGUAAGUUGGAAGUGAAAGCCCAGGGCUCAACCUUGGAAUUGCUUUCAAGACUGCCAGACUCGAAUCCGGGAGAGGAUAGCGGAAUUUCCAGUGUAGUAGUGAAAUACGUAGAUAUUGGAAGGAACACCAGUGGCGUAAGCGGCUAUCUGGACCGGCAUUGACGCUGAGGCACGAAAGCGUGGGGAUCAAAC